AUACGGAGGAUGCGAGCGUUAUCCGGAUUUAUUGGGUUUAAAGGGAGCGUAGGCGGGAGCUUAAGUCAGCGGUUAAAUGGUGCGGCUCAACCGUGCCCUGCCGUUGAAACUGGGUUUCUUGAGAGUGCAAGAGGCGGAAGGAAUUCAUGGGGGAGCGGGGAAAUGCUUAGAUAUCAUGAAGAACUCCGAUUGCGAAGGCAGUCCGCUGGGGCACGUCUGACGCUGAUGCUCGAAGGUGCGGGAAUCAAACAGGAUUAGAUACCCUGGUAGUCCGCACGGUAAACGAUGAUUACCCGCUGUCGGCGGCAGACAGUCGGCGGCCAAGCGAAAGCGAUAAGUAAUCCACCUGGGGAGUACGCCGGCAACGGUGAAACUCAAAGGAAUUGGCGGGG
Molecule: ribosomal RNA, 392 nt
Filed under: uncultured bacterium
Lineage: Bacteria
Description: partial 16S ribosomal RNA
Rfam family: Bacterial small subunit ribosomal RNA
Source: RNAcentral